ACAUAAGUAGGAUGAUCCUUACCUGGUCCUUUUGGGGGGAGGGCUUGGAACUAGAUGAUUGGAGUUUCCAACAAUACAUGAUUAACGUCUCUGUGUAAUCAAGACUUACAAUGCCCUGAUUGCUCCUAUCUUCU
Molecule: small nucleolar RNA, 134 nt
Organism: Ursus americanus (American black bear)
Lineage: Eukaryota; Metazoa; Chordata; Mammalia; Carnivora; Ursidae
Gene: U8
Rfam family: U8 small nucleolar RNA
About the family: U8 is a member of the C/D class of snoRNA which contain the C (UGAUGA) and D (CUGA) box motifs. U8 is the RNA component of a small complex (the U8 snoRNP) which is required for accumulation of mature large subunit ribosomal RNAs, 5.8S and 28S rRNAs. U8 RNA has been identified in human, mouse, rat and Xenopus.
Source: Ensembl